This 459-nucleotide ribosomal RNA is filed under the name uncultured bacterium. RNAcentral's name for it is "partial 16S ribosomal RNA". It matches the Rfam family "Bacterial small subunit ribosomal RNA", at positions 338 to 795 of the family's 1533-position model. The record is from RNAcentral.
CCUACGGGGGGCAGCAGUGAGGAAUAUUGGUCAAUGGCCGGAAGGCUGAACCAGCCAAGCCGCGUGAAGGACGAAGGUUCCAAGCAUUGUAAACUUCUUUUGUCAAGGGACAAAAUCAGGCUCGAGAGCCUGACCGAGGGUACUUGAAGAACAAGCAUCGGCUAACUCCGUGCCAGCAGCCGCGGUAAUCCGGAGGAUACGAGCGUUAUCCGGAUUUAUUGGGUUUAAAGGGUGCGUAGGCGGGCUGUUAAGUCAGCGGUAAAAGCCCGGGGCUCAACCCCGGCGAGCCGUUGAAACUGGCUGUCGUGAGAGGGGGAGAGGUAGGCGGAAUGCGCAGUGUAGCGGUGAAAUGCUUAGAUAGUGCGCAGAACUCCGAUUGCGAAGGCAGCAUACCGGAGGCGAUCUGACGCUGAGGCACGAAAGCGUGGGUAUCGAACAGGAUUAGAUACCCGUGUAGUC